UGUUCGUCCCCUCGCGACGCUAGGCCGGGAACCCCGCCAGGUCCGGAAGGAAGCAACGGUACCGGCUGACGCGGGCGCCGAGGUUCCGGCGGGCAGCG
RNAcentral lists this signal recognition particle RNA (98 nucleotides) under Sulfurivirga caldicuralii. Its description in RNAcentral is "Bacterial small signal recognition particle RNA". It matches the Rfam family "Bacterial small signal recognition particle RNA". Rfam says of the family: The signal recognition particle (SRP) is a universally conserved ribonucleoprotein involved in the co-translational targeting of proteins to membranes. Archaeal SRP consists of a 7S RNA and homologues of the eukaryotic SRP19 and SRP54 proteins. Lineage: Bacteria; Pseudomonadati; Pseudomonadota; Gammaproteobacteria; Thiotrichales; Piscirickettsiaceae. The record is from Rfam by way of RNAcentral.